CAAAAGAAGAAGUUCAUAGGAAGAAGUAGUAGAUGGUCACAGGUCAUGAGCCGGUAUGGUGAUUGUGGAAGGAAGGAGAGAGAGAGAAGGAAGGUACACUGGAUUAGAGUAAGGUCACCAGAGAAAGAGGUCACAGUCACAAAGACAAACAACAAGAUUUCAGGUGAAGAGGUCAGUGCUGUUAUCAUGAGAUGAUGAGGGUGCAAUCUGUGACUGCAUUGAUCUCAGCAAUGGUAAAAAAGCCUCCAUAUGUUGUCCAAUUUUUAGGAACCGUUGGAUGAAUGUCUGUACCUCCACAGACAGGACAUGUGAAAUCCCUCAGAGACCGUUCUAAUCCAUCAGCCAGAUGACACUGAGUGAAGUGUGAUGUAAUGGAUUCUACCAGGAAGGCUGCUAAAGCUAACCAACCAAACCUUGAUCCCCUGUCUUUCAGAGGCAAUAUGCAGUAACUAUGCCAACACUGAAGAAAGAAAACUGGCUUUAAAGUUUUUGAUUAAAUUCAUAUCAAAUUUCACACUCCAUUAUCUUUGGAUAUGAGAAGAGUUGAGCUAAAGCUGCCUGUCACAGGACAGAUAAGGGUCUAAAAGACCUUCUGUGGCCAGUUACAUAAACUGCAUAGACUAGUCUCAUAAAUCAUAUAAUUUUGACUGGUCAUAACCUUUUAAAUAAUUUACAUAAAACAUAAAAUGGCCUAAUUUGAAUCUGAAAACUAUAAGACCCCC
Long non-coding RNA from Cyprinus carpio carpio, 722 nucleotides. The record is from Ensembl. Lineage: Eukaryota; Metazoa; Chordata; Actinopteri; Cypriniformes; Cyprinidae.